Molecule: ribosomal RNA, 253 nt
Filed under: uncultured bacterium
Lineage: Bacteria
Description: partial 16S ribosomal RNA
Rfam family: Bacterial small subunit ribosomal RNA
Source: RNAcentral
UACGUAGGGGGCAAGCGUUGUCCGGAUUUAUUGGGCGUAAAGGGCGCGUAGGCGGCUAGAUGUGUCAAAGGUGAAAUCCCUCGGCUCAACUGAGGAACUGCCUUUGAAACUGUCUGGCUUGAGGCCGGGAGAGGGUAGCGGAAUUCCCAGUGUAGCGGUGAAAUGCGUAGAUAUUGGGAGGAACACCAGUGGCGAAGGCGGCUACCUGGACCGGUUCUGACGCUGAGGCGCGAAAGCGUGGGUAGCAAACAGG